RNAcentral lists this ribosomal RNA (253 nucleotides) under uncultured bacterium. Its description in RNAcentral is "partial 16S ribosomal RNA". It matches the Rfam family "Bacterial small subunit ribosomal RNA", at positions 524 to 776 of the family's 1533-position model. The record is from RNAcentral.
UACGAAGGGGGCUAGCGUUGUUCGGAAUUACUGGGCGUAAAGGGCGCGUAGGCGGCUCUGUUAGUCAGGCGUGAAAUUCCUGGGCUCAACCUGGGGACUGCGCUUGAUACGGCGGAGCUAGAGGAUGGAAGAGGCUCGCGGAAUUCCCAGUGUAGAGGUGAAAUUCGUAGAUAUUGGGAAGAACACCGGUGGCGAAGGCGGCGAGCUGGUCCAUUACUGACGCUGAGGCGCGACAGCGUGGGGAGCAAACAGG